AUUAACAUCUGCAUUCAUUUAUUUGUUAUUUUAUUAUAUAAGGUUCCAACAACCGAACAAAUAUCCAUCAAAUUUCCAAGAACUCCCAUAUAUGGAUCAAGACUGGACGUCAAUUUCGUUCGAACUCUACCUGCUGUUUACACUUUUCAGUUACUUGGGGAUGACAUUUAUAACUCCACAACGCUGACUCUGAGGGUUGACGAGCAAUCGCAGUCUUACAGAAUACAAGCACAUAUUAUGACCAGAAAGGACGUUCUUAACCUUCCGCUUGACAUACCUAUCGAUUUCCAACCUAUGUGUCCACCGGAUGAAUGUCAGUUUUCAUUCAUCAUUCUACACGAACAUAUACAGAUCCUUGUCAACGAAAGAGAGCUAGUACGUGCCGAAGUAAAGUCGACAUUUAUUAGACAGUUGAGACAAGUUAUGAUUUCCACACCCUCCUCCUCACCGGCAUCAUUGCAAAUGUUCGCGUUUAAAAAAUAAUAAAAGAAAAAGACACGGAUAUCAGAUGACGAGCACAUUCUGCUGGCGAUACAGAAUAAUAAUUUAUAAUUUCAAAUACAUUUUAUCGUCUCUUUUUUCUAUCUUCAUAGAUAAAUUUAAAUGGAAAUAUUGAUUUAUGGACAAAAAACUAUUUCUCAUCAUUAAAUACCUUAA
Long non-coding RNA from Ruditapes philippinarum (Manila clam), 657 nucleotides. RefSeq lists it as uncharacterized. The transcript has 5 exons. The record is from RefSeq and is a predicted model, not a curated record. NCBI's taxonomy places the organism in Eukaryota, Metazoa, Mollusca, Bivalvia, Venerida, Veneridae.